AUGGAAAAACUAAUGAUAUUCUUCCUACAUGCAGGUACCCAUGUCAUCCCAAUGGCGGCCUCAUCUGUAGCUGCAUUUGUAGUUCUUUCAUUGAUUGUGGCCACUGUGAUAUAUCUCUCCUUGAAGUCAAGGUACAAUGAAGAGAUAAAUAUGAAGGUUGAAAUGUUUCUCAAGGCAUAUGGCACAUCGAAACCCACAAGAUACACUUUCCCUGAGGUUAAGAAGAUAGCAAGACGGUUCAAGGAUAAACUGGGCCAGGGUGGAUUUGGAAGUGUAUACAAGGGCGAGCUACAAAACGGAGUUCCUGUGGCAGUCAAGAUGCUAGAGAGCUCUACAGGGGAGGGAGAGGAAUUCAUCAAUGAAGUUGGAACCAUUGGACUAAUCCACCAUGCAAAUAUCGUCCGUCUUUUGGGCUUUUGCUCCGAAGGAAUGAGACGGGCUCUUAUUUAUGAGUUCAUGCCUAACGAGUCAUUGGAAAAAUACAUAUUCGCACAUGUUUCUGAUAUUUCUCGACAACUCCUAGCACCCAACAAAAUGCUAGAUAUUGCUUUAGGCAUCGCCCGAGGGAUGGAAUACCUGCAUCAAGGGUGCAACCAGCGCCUUCUCCACUUUGACAUCAAGCCACACAACAUCUUGCUGGACUACAACUUCAACCCGAAGAUCUCAGACUUUGGCCUUGCCAAGCUGUGUGCAAGGGACCAAAGCAUCAUUACCUUAACUGCAGCAAGAGGGACUAUGGGAUACAUAGCACCAGAGCUAUACUCUCGGAACUUUGGAGGGGUGUCUUACAAGUCAGAUGUGUACAGUUUUGGCAUGCUGGUGUUGGAGAUGGUGAGCGGACGGAGGAACUCAGAUCCAAGUGUUGAGAACCAGGACGAAGUUUAUCUCCCGGAGUGGAUCUACGAGAGAGUAAUCAAUGGGCAUGAAUGGGAACUUACUUCGGAAAUGACAGCAGAAGACAAAGAAAAGGUGAGACAGCUGACUAUUGUGGCACUGUGGUGUAUCCAAUGGAACCCCAAGAAUCGGCCAUCAAUGACAAAGGUGGUAAACAUGUUAACGGGGAGGUUGCAGAACCUACAGAUUCCCCCUAAGCCCUUUGUGUCAUCUGAAAAUUAUCCUAGAACAUAA
This 1128-nucleotide ribosomal RNA is filed under the name Triticum aestivum (bread wheat). RNAcentral describes it as "partial small subunit ribosomal RNA". The record is from RNAcentral. Lineage: Eukaryota; Viridiplantae; Streptophyta; Magnoliopsida; Poales; Poaceae.